This 494-nucleotide ribosomal RNA is filed under the name uncultured bacterium. RNAcentral's name for it is "partial 16S ribosomal RNA". It matches the Rfam family "Bacterial small subunit ribosomal RNA", at positions 899 to 1397 of the family's 1533-position model. The record is from RNAcentral.
ACUCAAAUGAAUAGACGGGGGCCCGCACAAGCGGUGGAUGAUGUGGUUUAAUUCGAUGCAACGCGAAAAACCUUACCUACCCUUGACAUGGCAGGAACGCUGCUGAGAGGUGGCGGUGCCCGAAAGGGAGCCUGCACACAGGUGCUGCAUGGCUGUCGUCAGCUCGUGUCGUGAGAUGUUGGGUUAAGUCCCGCAACGAGCGCAACCCUUGCCACUAGUUGCUACGAAAGGGCACUCUAGUGGGACUGCCGGUGACAAACCGGAGGAAGGUGGGGAUGACGUCAAGUCCUCAUGGCCCUUAUGGGUAGGGCUACACACGUCAUACAAUGGCGCAUACAGAGGGUUGCCAAGGCGCGAGCUGGAGCCAAUCCCACAAAGUGCGUCGUAGUCCGGAUUGCACUCUGCAACUCGAGUGCAUGAAGUCGGAAUCGCUAGUAAUCGCGGAUCAGCAUGUCGCGGUGAAUACGUUCCCGGGCCUUGUACACACCGCCCGU